AAAUGCUACAAUCUGAGGGACCGCCCUAGUAUUUUUAAGGAUCAUUUGUUGCAAAUACGCGUAUCAUCAAUAUGACGGAGAAAUGAAAUGAGUGCGUUCCAAACCGUCCGUGAAACGCAACACUGAGCACUCGGUGACUCCAAAUCUCACACCAGCACUGGCAUCCCUCAUGUGCCCAUGAGGGAAAAAGACACUUGUUUUAUCCAGAUUAGAUGGCAUGAAGGCAGAUUCUUAACCGCAAGUAUCCGUGGGCUGAGAUUCCGGUGACUUUUAUAAUUCACUUAUAGAAUUUUCAUUGUGCUGUCAACCAGAACUCAACUUGCAGAACUAAAAGCCUCAUUUCAGGCAUCCUACAAAGACCAGCAGUUUUUGUUCAUCUUUGUGCUGACUGAAACCUCAACUAGUAAAUCAGAAGAAAAUGAUUCACUGGAAUUGCACCAGAGAAAGGAGAAAAUGGAAUUUGCAUUUUCUGCAGCCCAAGUGUUCUCAUUCCAUAGAAGAAUUCUGAAUACAAGACUUCUUUGUUAAGCAGAUCUGUACCCUUCAAUCCUUUUGCUUUUUUUUUCUCGAGAUACUGAAACAAAACAUUCAGUUUGGGGUUUGAGAGAAACAUUUUGUUCAACUUGACGUAACCAUUUUCAUUUCUAAAAAACUGAAAAAACCCAGAAGAUUAAAUAUAAAUUUGGCCCAAUUAAUUUGAAAUUUGGGAUAGAUACAAAGGAUUGAAGGCCCAUCUAAAAAAUUAACUCAUAACCCUAAUUAACUUAGAUAUUUGCAAUGUUUCAGAGUUCAUAGCCAUGUCAAUACCACAACAAUGCAUUUAUUUCACACCAGAAGCCAAGAGGAAUUAAUGUUAUGGAGGAAAUUAGUACCUCCUUAUGGAAACUUAUAGAAUAGUGAUAUUUUUCCUCACACAUUUACACUGAGCAGCACCAAAUGCAGUAUCAUGUGCAAAAAUCAAUCAUCAUAAUAUUUAGCUAUGUGAAGCGUUCACAGAGCUGGAAAUAAAGGUUAAAUAAUAAAAUUGAUGAUUUUGUCA
RNAcentral lists this long non-coding RNA (1039 nucleotides) under Cyanistes caeruleus (blue tit). RNAcentral's name for it is "lncRNA (ENSCCEG00000016038.1)". Lineage: Eukaryota; Metazoa; Chordata; Aves; Passeriformes; Paridae. The record is from RNAcentral.